ACUCUAGAAAGACUGCCGGUUAUAAACCGGAGGAAGGCGGGGAUGACGUCAAGUCAGCAUGCCCCUUACACCCUGGGCUACACACGUGCUACAUUGGGCGAGACAAUGAGAUGCAAACUUGCGAAGGUAAGCUAAUCUAUAAACUCGUUCUAAGUUCGGAUUGUAGGCUGCAACUCGCCUACAUGAAGUUGGAAUCGCUAGUAAUCGCUGGUCAGCUAUACAGCGGUGAAUUCGUUCCCGGGCCUUGUACACACCGCCCGUCACACCAUGGAAGUUGGUUAUACCCGAAGUCGUUACUCUAACCAUUUAUUUGGAGGAGGAUGCCUAAGGUAGAAUUGAUGACUGGGGUGAAGUCGUAACAAGGUAACCGUACUGGAAGGUGCGGUUGGAUCACCUCCUUU
RNAcentral lists this ribosomal RNA (401 nucleotides) under Chloroflexota bacterium. Its description in RNAcentral is "bacterial SSU rRNA". It matches the Rfam family "Bacterial small subunit ribosomal RNA", at positions 1137 to 1533 of the family's 1533-position model. Lineage: Bacteria; Bacillati; Chloroflexota. The record is from RNAcentral.